Molecule: ribosomal RNA, 484 nt
Filed under: uncultured bacterium
Lineage: Bacteria
Description: partial 16S ribosomal RNA
Rfam family: Bacterial small subunit ribosomal RNA
Source: RNAcentral
AUUGAACGCUGGCGGCAGGCCUAACACAUGCAAGUCGAGCGGAUGAAGGGAGCUUGCUCCUGGAUUCAGCGGCGGACGGGUGAGUAAUGCCUAGGAAUCUGCCUGGUAGUGGGGGAUAACGUCCGGAAACGGGCGCUAAUACCGCAUACGUCCUGAGGGAGAAAGUGGGGGAUCUUCGGACCUCACGCUAUCAGAUGAGCCUAGGUCGGAUUAGCUAGUUGGUGGGGUAAAGGCCUACCAAGGCGACGAUCCGUAACUGGUCUGAGAGGAUGAUCAGUCACACUGGAACUGAGACACGGUCCAGACUACUACGGGAGGCAGCAGUUGGGAAUAUUGGACAAUGGGCGAAAGCCUGAUCCAGCCAUGCCGCGUGUGUGAAGAAGGUCUUCGGAUUGUAAAGAACUUUAAGUUGGGAGGAAGGGCAGUAAGUUAAUACCUUGCUGUUUUGACGUUACCAACAGAAUAAGCACCGGCUAACUUCGUG